UGAGGCCCCCCCUGAGGGGAUGAGGGACCAUGGUAAGUGCAGUUUUGGGCUGAAGGUGCCUUUCUUUUGGAAGUCACACUGGAGUCUUCAAAGCUGAAAACAGACAGGGUGAGGCUGGUGAGAGGAGAAUGGAUGUUGACUGGUUAGAGCUGGUUUCAGGUGCAGUUCACCUGGGGCGAUGAGUCCUUCUGCACUGCCCGGCCCAGCUGGCCAGUAAUACGGACUAGGACCAAGGCCAGGAUUAUAUGAAAGUCAGUGGGUAGGGCCUCCCGGCUGACAUAGCCCUUAGGAAGCCCAGCAAAGCACCGGGCCUUGGCAUUGGGCCUCCCUGAGGGGCCAAGAGAGCCCCCGAUACAUGGAGGGAGCAAUGGUCCGGGGGGCUUCCUUUCCAGAGCCCCCACUGUGUCCCCGGUCACUUUGAGAUAUUCUUCCUCCCGCUUGGCAGUUUGUCCAGUUCUAAAAUAAGACACUGGAAGAUUUCCUUUGGUACUGAUUUCCCAAACUUUAAUCAUUCCUGUACGAUUUUUUUUUAACCUGUCUCGUGAUCUCUAUAAAAUACCUGCCCUGACAUUUACUUCACAAUUCCUUAAAAUCGACUCAUUUUACCAGCACCCACUUUAGUUUAAAUCUAAGCAGUCGAUGCCCACAACGUCAGCGUGUGCGUGUCUUUUCUCACACACAGCACAAUAGGUCGGUGACUCACACGUUGUAAAGGACAUUCUUCUGUGAGUCACCCUACAUCACCAAGUGUGAACGCAAGGCCUCCUUGGGUCACCUUUCAGGAUGCUCUGGGAAGAAAGGGGCACCCUCCCAAUGCAGUGGGGACGAGGGACACGGCAUGGGCAGGGAUGCUGGAGCUCCAGCCCCAUGGGCGGCCUCCAUCUUGGUUUGGGCUCCGUCUCAGCACGGCCAUCUGCUCUGAAUGAGCAGCCUUUUGUGAAAAGCUGUGGGGGGAUCAGCCUGGCUGAUUGGCUGGAGCUGUGCCCAGAAUGCCCAGAUGUACAUUUGCCCCAAAAGACGGGGCACAGCUGGGGUUCACGGUCUCCCCGGAGGUUGGGUUUUCCUGGUGCAGCCCAACCCUGCCUCCCACUCUCCCGCAGUGCGGUGGGAGAGGGCCCAGAGCGGCCCCGAGAGCUCCCUCACCGCCGGCAGCCUGCCAUUUGCAGCCACUGGGGACAGGAGAUUGCUUCCAUGGAAACAGAACCAGGGAUUGUAUUUCCAGAAACGUCUCAAUCUAAUUUGUGUGGAGCUGGGUUGUGUGUGUGGGUGUCUGUGUGCUCCUGUGUGGUGUGUUUCUGUCACAGAAGGUGGGGGGUGAGGAGCGGGAAGAGAGAAUUUGCAUAGAACCCCCAUUUCCCUUGAUUCCCAGGGACUCGAUUAUUUCAGGAAGGGAGAAGUAGAGACGGGAGAAGAGAGGUCUCCCCCAGCCUCCUUCCCGCCCAGCUCAGGAGAGAGGGAUGCAGAACCUUGGCCAUAGAGCGAAUGACGCCUGCCGACUCUCCUUCUCCUUUCCUAUUAUGACAAUGACUUUGGGUUUGACCAGCGCGUAAAGGGUUAGAGUUCCUUUCAGAAUCAGAGAGAUUUGGACCUUGUCACAGUGCCAACCCCUUUUCAUUCUGGAUCAUCACAAUAUCCUCAAAGAGAAACGCAUCGCCAGUGGCCCUGAUACCGCCUCACAGGAAUUUCAGCAUAUCCCCACGCGUCUCUGGAGACCCUAGGGACGGCGCUGGGCCCCAGACUCCAGCUAUCACCGUGUAACAUCAUCCAUCCUGCAAUCCCAGCUCCAUCGAGCUGCCUGCUUGUAUCCUGUCUGCGCUCCCCGUUGGCACUGCCCGCCUGGCGCUCACCCAGGCUGGUCUGACACUUGCUGCUGAGGCUGGGGAGCGACCCAGGCAGGCUUCCAAUUCUCUCAUGAGCUGGGUGCUGCCUGCAGCCAGCUCACUGUGAAGCCCUGUUCUAGAGGCUUCAGAGGACCCCAGCUUGGUGGGGCGGGGCGCGGAGCCAUGGGAAGUGCAUAAGCAAAGAGCUCUGUCGAGAGAGAGUAAAUCAGCUCCUGGCAUCCUGUCCUGCUGAUAGAAGCUCUCGAUCCUUUCUUCCCCUCUCAAGUACCACUUAGGUCUCUGCUUGCUUCCUGCAAACAAUGGCACCGAAUGUUCAUUUGUUUGCUUGGAGCCCAGGGCUCCCCCCCCACUUCCAGAGGCUUCCAGUGCUCAGCUGUCCUCCUCCUUCAGAGGCCGGCCCCCCUUGGCUUUACUGUCUUCUGUGCUUAAUUGCAAAUUAUUGAUUUGAAGGGAAUUAAUUUUUAGCUCUUGCCAGAUUCAGUCGCUCCUGGGUUGGACUCCUCAGCAGGACACCCUGGGGAUCCCAGCUGGGGACCGGGGGGAGGGACCAUGGCUCAUCAGUAGCUGUGCUGGGCCGAGGCCACAUGUGUCGACUCACGGGCUGAUCAGUGCUGGGGCUGAGAUGCUCUCGCCAGUGUGCUGUUUCCACAGAGAGGAAACUGAGGCCGGGAGGUGGCCAAAGCGUCAAGCCAGAGUGGAGCGCCGACUCCCAGCCGGGCGCCGGUAUGGCAGCAAUUCCUUGACACAUGAAGACUCGUCUAAUCCUGGAGAGAAAGCCUAAGAGGGAGCGGUUUUGUCCCAGUGUGUGUACGACUGAGUCCUUGGGGUGAUGCUGCAGCCCGUGCACCCCCCCAGGAGAUGCUGAUGUCGCGGUCCAAGACCACACACUGAGAAGCAGGGUCAGCACAGGGUCCUUGGCUUGGCCAGCACACGGUGAUCAGGGGGUUUUCCAAGUUACCGAUGUUUGGGGACAAUCUCCAGAAAUUCUGAUGCAAUUGUUGUGAAGCUCCCUGGACAAUGGGAGUUUUAAGACAUUCCUAGGACGCUCUUACCUUCGGCACGUCACUUUCAUGAAGGAAUACCUUCCAACGGAGCCCGAAAUAAUAUUUUUUUUUUUCCUGAGCACCUGUUUUAUUUAAUUUUUUUUUCCUGAGCACCUAUUUAAAAUGAAAUAAAUAAUUACGUGCAUUGCCAAAAUCUAUGUAUCACAAAACCCGUACGAGACAGGUGAUGCUCUUAAUCCCUGGGAGGGGUGGGUUGAUUCCGGCCCCUCGUUUUCAAUCAGGGUUGGCACCGCUGUGUCCACUCU
Molecule: long non-coding RNA, 3150 nt
Organism: Ictidomys tridecemlineatus (thirteen-lined ground squirrel)
Lineage: Eukaryota; Metazoa; Chordata; Mammalia; Rodentia; Sciuridae
Source: RefSeq, a predicted model, not a curated record